Molecule: long non-coding RNA, 2351 nt
Organism: Oncorhynchus tshawytscha (Chinook salmon)
Lineage: Eukaryota; Metazoa; Chordata; Actinopteri; Salmoniformes; Salmonidae
Source: Ensembl
CUACCAGGUGGUCGCUUGGUGUCCUCCGUCGCAAUUAUUGCAUAAUCUCCAGCUGCAGUAUUUUUCCGUUUGCUUCUGAUGAGAAGCCAACUGCCACCACUGAUAGAUUAUCGAAUAGAUAUGUGAAAAACACCUUGAGGAUUGAUUCUAAACAACGUUUGCUAUGUUUCUGUCGAUAUUAUGGAGCUAAUUUGGAAAAAAGUUUGGCGUUGUAAGUGACUGCAUUUUCCGGUCUUUUUCUUAGCCAAACGUGAUGAACAAAACGGAGCUAUUUCGUCUACACAAAUAAUAUGUUUGGAAAAAAUGAACAUUUGCUAUCUAACUAAGAGUCUCGUCAUUGAAAACAUACAAAGUUCUUCAAAGGAGGGGUGCGUCACUUGCGUGGGUUGAGUCACUGAUGUGGUCUUCCUGUCUAGGUUGGCGCCCCCCUUGGGUUGUGCCGUGGCGGAGAUCUUUGUGGGCUAUACUCGGCCUUGUCUCAGGAUGGUAAGUUGGUGGUUGAAGAUAUCCCUCUAGUGGUGUUGGGGCUGUGCUUUGGCAAAGUGGGUGGGGUUAUAUCCUUCCUGUUUGGCCCUGUCCGGAGGUACCAUCGGAUGGGGCCACAGUGUCUCCUGACCCCUUCUUGUCUCAGCCUCCAGUAUUUAUGCUGCAGUAGUUUAUGUGUCGCGGGGCUAGGGUCAGUUUGUUAUAUCUGGAGUACUUAUCCUGUCUUCUCUGGUGUCCUGUGUGAAUUUAAGUAUUCUCUCUCUAAUUCUCUCUUUCUCUCUUUCUUUCUCUCUCUCGGAGGACCUGAGCCCUAGGACCAUGCCUCAGGACUACCUGGCAUGAUGACUCCUUGCUGUCCCCAGUCCACCUGGCCGUGCUGCUGCUCCAGUUUCGACUGUUCUGCCUGCGGCUAUGGAAUACUGACCUGUUCACCGGACGUGCUACCUGUCCCAGACCUGCUGUUUUCAACUCUCUAGAGACAGCAGGAGUGGUAGAGAUACUCUUAAUGAUCGGCUAUGAAAAGCCAACUGACAUUUACUGCUGAGGUGCUGACUUGCUGCACCCUGUACAAGUACUGUGAUUAUUAUUAUUUGACCAUGCUGGUCAGUUAUGAACAUUUGAACAUCUUGGCCAUGUUCUGUUAUAAUCUCCACCCGGCACAUCCAGAAGAGGACUGGCCACCCCUCAUAGCCUGGUUCCUCUCUAGGUUUCUUCCUAGGGUUUGGCCUUUCUAGGGAGUUUUUCCUAGCCACCGUGCUUCUACACCUGCAUUGCUUGCUGUUUGGGGUUUUACACUGGGUUUCUGUACAGCACUUUGAGAUAUCAGCUGAUGUACGAAGGGCUAUAUAAAUACAUUUGAUUUGAUGAUCAAUGAUAUAAAGAAUGAAAAACUUGAGACUUUAAAUUAAAUUAUGGGCAGAAAGACAUAUUCAACUCUAUCUUUCGUAGAAUCAGAUGGCUUAUUCAUCACAAAACCAUUUGAUGUUGCCAAUUAUUUGAAUGAUUAUUUAAUUGGCAGAGUGGGCAAGCUUAGGCAGGAAAUGCCCACGACAAACAGUGAGCAAUUAUAUUCAUGCAUAAAAAACUAAUAAUGAAAGGAAGGCAGUGCAAGUUUUAAUUUUGUAAAGUUAGUGUGGGAGAGGUGGAAAAAUUAUUGUUAACGAUCAAUAAUGACAAACCUGGCAUUGACAACUUAGAUGGAAAGCUACUGAGGAUGGUAGAUGACUCUAUAGCCACUCCUAUCUGUCAUAUUUUUGAUCUGAGCCUAGAGGAAAAUUUUAGUCCUCAGGCCUGGAGGGAAGCCAAAGUAAUUCCGCUACCCAAGAGUGGUAAAGUGGCCUUUAAAAUUGUGUUUGACCAAAUACAAUGUUAUUUCUCUGUAAAGAAAUUAACAACAUACUUUCAGCAUGCUUAUAGAGAAGGGCACUUAACAUGUACUGCACUGACACAAAUGACUGGUGAUUGGUUGAAAGAAAUUGAUAAGAAGAAGAUUGUGGGUGCUGUACUGUUAGAUUUCAGUGCAGCCUUUGAUAUUAUUGACCAUAAAACCUGUUGUUGAAAAAACUUAAGUGCUAUGGCUUUUCAACCUCAGCUCUGAAUCCACGAUAUGGCAAUCUAAUAGAACUCAAAGGGUUUUCUUUAAUGGAAGCAUCUCUAAAGUCAAACAUGUAAGUGUGGUGUACCGCAGGGCAGCUCUCCAGGCCCUCUCUUCUUUUCUAUUUUUACCACUGACCUGCCACUGGCAUUAAACAAAGCAUGUGUGUCCAUGUAUGCUGAUCAUUCAAUAAUAUGGACACACAUCAGCAACCACAGCUAAAGAAGUCACUGAAACCCUUAACAAAGAGUUGCGGUCUGUUUUGGAAUGG